GUGCCAGCCGCCGCGGUAAUACGGAGGGGGCAAGCGUUAUUCGGAUUUACUGGGCGUAAAGGGUGUGUAGGCCGUCGCGCAAGUCUGGUGUGAAAUCUUCACCACUCAACGGGAAGAGGUCACUGGAAACUGCGUGACUUGAGUUUGGUAGAGGCGAGCGGAAUUCCUGGUGUAGCGGUGGAAUGUGUAGAUAUCAGGAAGAACACCGGUGGCGAAGGCGGCUCGCUGGGCCAAUACUGACGCUGAAACACGAAAGCGUGGGGAGCAAACGGGAUUAGAAACCCGGGUAGUCC
Molecule: ribosomal RNA, 293 nt
Filed under: uncultured bacterium
Lineage: Bacteria
Description: partial 16S ribosomal RNA
Rfam family: Bacterial small subunit ribosomal RNA
Source: RNAcentral